This 468-nucleotide ribosomal RNA is filed under the name uncultured bacterium. Its description in RNAcentral is "partial 16S ribosomal RNA". It matches the Rfam family "Bacterial small subunit ribosomal RNA", at positions 28 to 507 of the family's 1533-position model. The record is from RNAcentral.
GACGAACGCUGGCGGCGUGCUUAACACAUGCAAGUCGAACGGAAAGGCCCUGCUUUUGUGGGGUGCUCGAGUGGCGAACGGGUGAGUAACACGUGAGUAACCUGCCCUUGACUUUGGGAUAACUUCAGGAAACUGGGGCUAAUACCGGAUAGGAGCUCCUGCUGCAUGGUGGGGGUUGGAAAGUUUCGGCGGUUGGGGAUGGACUCGCGGCUUAUCAGCUUGUUGGUGGGGUAGUGGCUUACCAAGGCUUUGACGGGUAGCCGGCCUGAGAGGGUGACCGGCCACAUUGGGACUGAGAUACGGCCCAGACUCCUACGGGAAGCAGCAGUGGGGAAUAUUGCACAAUGGGCGGAAGCCUGAUACAGUAACGCCGCGUGCGGGAUGACGGCCUUCGGGUUAUAAACCGCUUUCGCCUGUGACGAAGCGUGAGUGACGGUAAUGGGUAAAGAAGCACCGGCUAACUACGUG